ACUCCUACGGGAGGCAGCAGUGGGGAAUAUUGCACAAUGGGCGCAAGCCUGAUGCAGCAACGCCGUGUGAGUGAAGAAGGUUUUCGGAUCGUAAAACUCUGUCCUAAGGGAAGAAAAAAUGACGGUACCUUAGGAGGAAGCCCCGGCUAACUACGUGCCAGCAGCCGCGGUAAUACGUAGGGGGCAAGCGUUAUCCGGAAUCACUGGGCGUAAAGGGUGCGUAGGCGGCUUGACAAGCCAGGGGUGAAAGGCAUUGGCUCAACCAAUGUAAGCCUUUGGAACUGUUAAGCUUGAGUGCAGGAGAGGUAAGUGGAAUUCCUAGUGUAGAGGUGAAAUUCGUAGAUAUUAGGAGGAACACCAGUGGCGAAGGCGACUUACUGGACUGUAACUGACGCUGAUGCACGAAAGCGUGGGUAGCGAACAGGAUUAGAUACCCUGGUAGCACAGAG
Molecule: ribosomal RNA, 449 nt
Filed under: uncultured bacterium
Lineage: Bacteria
Description: bacterial SSU rRNA
Rfam family: Bacterial small subunit ribosomal RNA
Source: RNAcentral